CCUACGGGAGGCAGCAGUGGGGAAUAUUGCACAAUGGGCGAAAGCCUGAUGCAGCGACGCCGCGUGAGCGAAGAAGUAUUUCGGUAUGUAAAGCUCUAUCAGCAGGGAAGAUAAUGACGGUACCUGACUAAGAAGCACCGGCUAAAUACGUGCCAGCAGCCGCGGUAAUA
Molecule: ribosomal RNA, 170 nt
Filed under: uncultured rumen bacterium
Lineage: Bacteria
Description: partial 16S ribosomal RNA
Rfam family: Bacterial small subunit ribosomal RNA
Source: RNAcentral